RNAcentral lists this ribosomal RNA (390 nucleotides) under Scleroderma sp. 154-191. RNAcentral's name for it is "eukaryotic LSU rRNA". The stretch from base 1 to 106 matches the Rfam family "5.8S ribosomal RNA", at positions 50 to 154 of the family's 154-position model. Lineage: Eukaryota; Fungi; Basidiomycota; Agaricomycetes; Boletales; Sclerodermataceae. The record is from RNAcentral.
GAAUCGCGAUAAGUAAUGUGAAUUGCAGAUUUUCCGUGAAUCAUCGAAUCUUUGAACGCACCUUGCGCUCCUUGGUAUUCCGAGGAGCAUGCCUGUUUGAGUGUCAUCGAAACCUCGGAUCGAUGCUUCGACCCCGUCGAAGCUCGGUUCGGACUGUGGGAGUCUGCCGGCGAAGCGUGACUUCGUCGGCUCUCCUCAAAAGCAUUAGCUGUGGGUGGCGAGCCUGGCAUGGCACGGCCUGUUCGACGUCGUAGUGAUCGUCGCGGGCUGGAAGUGUACGGCUCGACGUGACCCAUGCUUCUCGAGUCUUGCGAGCCCGUCCCUCCGUGGGACGGCCGCGCCCCAUCGAAGCUUGACCUCAAAUCAGGUAGGACUACCCGCCGAACUUAA